GAGGGAGGAAGGCUUUUGGGUUGUAAACCUCUUUUUUCAAGGAAGAAGAAAGUGACGGUACUUGAAGAAUAAGCAUCGGCUAACUCCGUGCCAGCAGCCGCGGUAAUACGGAGGAUGCAAGCGUUAUCCGGAAUCAUUGGGCGUAAAGCGUCCGCAGGUGGGCGAUUCAAGUCUGCUGUUAAAGACAGAAGCUCAACUUCUGGCAAGCGGUGGAAACUGGAUAGCUAGAGUACGGUAGGGGUUGAGGGAAUUCCCAGUGUAGCGGUGAAAUGCGUAGAUAUUGGGAAGAACACCAGUGGCGAAGGCGCUCAACUGGGCCGUAACUGACACUCAGGGACGAAAGCUAGGGUAGCGAAAGGGAUUAGAUACCCCUGUAGUCUUAGCUGUAAACGAUGAACACUAGGCGUUGCUUGUAUCGACCCGAGCAGUGCCGUAGCCAACGCGUUAAGUGUUCCGCCUGGGGAGUACGCACGCAAGUGUGAAACUCAAAGGAAUUGACGGGGGCCCGCACAAGCGGUGGAGUAUGUGGUUUA
RNAcentral lists this ribosomal RNA (533 nucleotides) under Pleurocapsales cyanobacterium RCC1782. RNAcentral describes it as "bacterial SSU rRNA". It matches the Rfam family "Bacterial small subunit ribosomal RNA", at positions 401 to 948 of the family's 1533-position model. Lineage: Bacteria; Bacillati; Cyanobacteriota; Cyanophyceae; Pleurocapsales. The record is from RNAcentral.